GAAAUAGUUUGAUAGCCAUGGCGUACCAAUUUUUUGAAUACAUCUUGAAGCAAAAUGCAGGCGCCCACAGCCGUGUUGGAUCCCUCGGUAUAUAAAAAUCGACAUACCAAAAAGUAUUAAUACGUAAGAUGCUAUUAACAUUCUACGUUUGAUACCAACAUUUUAACGUCCAAAAAGUUUAGUUAUUUAUUGUCAUAUACAUUUGACAGAUAAUAACAAUAAUGUUUAUUUUUAUAACAUACAAGGAUUCGCCGGAAUUAUCCGUUCGAAGAGCGUCAGAAACAGAUCUUUCCACUGAAAAAACGUUACUGGUUAAUCCUAUUUGUCCUGUCAGAAUUAUGUUGGAGUAUAUACGAAAGAAAUGCAGGUUUGGUAUAUUCACACAGUUUGAUUUAUGUGAUGAAUCUGGUGCAUUAAAAGGACUAUUCAAUAUGCCGACCUAUGCAUAUGCCACUGAUCAGUUCGAGCAUAAAAAGACAUAUUACCUCAUUGUAUUGAAAAUGGAAUUUGACAAAAAGAUAUCGGUUCUACCACAAUUAAACCGCGAGAAUGCCCGUUACGAAGACUUAAAGAGUAAGGUGACGAAUUUGAUGUCGGGCGAGAGUCCUAAUAGAUCUCCUCCACCGGCGCCGACUCCUUCAGGGAAGACUACACCAAUGUUGAAAGUUGGAGCUAAGAAGAAAUAACCAAUUCUUUCAAGAUUUUUCACGGUUAUGUAUAACUGAAACAAAUUUUAAACGUCUUCCGAAAACCCCAAAGUGGUGAUUAUGGGUUAUCGGCAACUAAAUCCAAUGAAUGAAUCUUAAUUCAAUCUAAAACUCUUAAAAAUCACUCUGUCAUUGCCUUCCUUAAAACAAACAUUAAACUUCAUAGCUGAGCGGCAUUGUUUGUUUAUAUAUACUUAUUAAUAUUUAUA
Pieris napi is the source of this 916-nucleotide long non-coding RNA. RefSeq lists it as uncharacterized. The record is from RefSeq and is a predicted model, not a curated record. NCBI's taxonomy places the organism in Eukaryota, Metazoa, Arthropoda, Insecta, Lepidoptera, Pieridae. The transcript is spliced from 4 exons.